GAACCUUACCUGGGCUCGAAGCGCAGUGGACCGGGGUGGAAACAUCCCUUCCCCUUAAAAGGCUGCUGCGGAGGUGCUGCAUGGCUGUCGUCAGCUCGUGUCGUGAGAUGUUGGGUUAAGUCCCGCAACGAGCGCAACCCUUGUCCUGUGUUGCCAUCAUUCAGUUGGGAACUCGCAGGAGACCGCCAGCGAUAAGCUGGAGGAAGGUGGGGAUGACGUCAAGUCCUCAUGGCCUUUAUGUCCAGGGCUACACACGUGCUACAAUGGACGGUACAAACCGCUGCAAACCCGCGAGGGGGAGCCAAUCGGAAAAAACCGUUCUCAGUUCGGAUUGCAGGCUGCAACUCGCCUGCAUGAAGCUGGAAUCGCUAGUAAUGGCAGAUCAGCACGCUGCCGUGAAUACGUUCCCGGGCCUUGUCACACCGA
This 426-nucleotide ribosomal RNA is filed under the name uncultured soil bacterium. Its description in RNAcentral is "bacterial SSU rRNA". It matches the Rfam family "Bacterial small subunit ribosomal RNA", at positions 966 to 1393 of the family's 1533-position model. The record is from RNAcentral.